CCUGAGCAGCCAUGCCGCGUGUAUGAAGAAGGCCUUCGGGUUGUAAAGUACUUUCAGUUGUGAGGAAGGGGGUGUCGUUAAUAGCGGCAUCUCUUGACGUUAGCAACAGAAGAAGCACCGGCUAACUCCGUGCCAGCAGCCGCGGUAAUACGGAGGGUGCGAGCGUUAAUCGGAAUUACUGGGCGUAAAGCGCAUGCAGGUGGUUCAUUAAGUCAGAUGUGAAAGCCCGGGGCUCAACCUCGGAACUGCAUUUGAAACUGGUGAACUAGAGUACUGUAGAGGGGGGUAGAAUUUCAGGUGUAGCGGUGAAAUGCGUAGAGAUCUGAAGGAAUACCAGUGGCGAAGGCGGCCCCCUGGACAGAUACUGACACUCAGAUGCGAAAGCGUGGGGAGCAAACAGGAUUAGAUACCCUGGUAGUCCACGCCGUAAACGAUGUCUACUUGGAGGUUGUGGCCUUGAGCCGUGGCUUUCGGAGCUAACGCGUUAAGUAGACCGCCUGGGGAGUACGGUCGCAAGAUUAAAACUCAAAUGAAUUGACGGGGGCCCGCACAAGCGGUGGAGCAUGUGGUUUAAUUCGAUGCAACGCGAAGAACCUUACCUACUCUUGACAUCCAGAGAAGCCAGCGGAGACGCAGGUGUGCCUUCGGGAGCUCUGAGACAGGUGCUGCAUGGCUGUCGUCAGCUCGUGUUGUGAAAUGUUGGGUUAAGUCCCGCAACGAGCGCAACCCUUAUCCUUGUUUGCCAGCGAGUAAUGUCGGGAACUCCAGGGAGACUGCCGGUGAUAAACCGGAGGAAGGUGGGGACGACGUCAAGUCAUCAUGGCCCUUACGAGUAGGGCUACACACGUGCUACAAUGGCGCAUACAGAGGGCAGCGAACUUGCGAGAGUGAGCGAAUCCCAAAAAGUGCGUCGUAGUCCGGAUUGGAGUCUGCAACUCGACUCCAUGAAGUCGGAAUCGCUAGUAAUCGUAGAUCAGAAUGCUACGGUGAAUACGUUCCCGGGCCUUGUACACACCGCCCGUCACACCAUGGGAGUGGGCUGCAAAAGAAGUGGGUAGUUUAACCUUUCGGAGAGGACUCUCACCACUUUGGGGUUCAAGACGGGGUGAUC
RNAcentral lists this ribosomal RNA (1111 nucleotides) under Vibrio sp. 8117M. Its description in RNAcentral is "bacterial SSU rRNA". It matches the Rfam family "Bacterial small subunit ribosomal RNA", at positions 382 to 1485 of the family's 1533-position model. Lineage: Bacteria; Pseudomonadati; Pseudomonadota; Gammaproteobacteria; Vibrionales; Vibrionaceae. The record is from RNAcentral.